GCAUUGGUGGUUCAGUGGUGGAACACUGGCCUGCCACCCGGGUAACCCGAGUUCAAUCCCGGUUAAUGCA
Molecule: non-coding RNA, 70 nt
Organism: Parelaphostrongylus tenuis
Lineage: Eukaryota; Metazoa; Nematoda; Chromadorea; Rhabditida; Metastrongylidae
Source: the annotation of a GenBank genome assembly